This 85-nucleotide transfer RNA is filed under the name Burkholderia gladioli. RNAcentral's name for it is "tRNA-Leu". It matches the Rfam family "tRNA". Rfam says of the family: Transfer RNA (tRNA) molecules are approximately 80 nucleotides in length. The record is from RNAcentral. Lineage: Bacteria; Pseudomonadati; Pseudomonadota; Betaproteobacteria; Burkholderiales; Burkholderiaceae. RNAcentral also lists the same sequence under 1 other name.
GCCUAGGUGGUGAAAUUGGUAGACGCAGGGGACUCAAAAUCCCCCGCCGCAAGGCGUGCCGGUUCGAUUCCGGCCCUGGGCACCA